Molecule: ribosomal RNA, 357 nt
Filed under: uncultured Ruminococcus sp.
Lineage: Bacteria; Bacillati; Bacillota; Clostridia; Eubacteriales; Oscillospiraceae
Description: bacterial SSU rRNA
Rfam family: Bacterial small subunit ribosomal RNA
Source: RNAcentral
UGGGGAAUAUUGCACAAUGGAGGGAGCUCUGAUGCAGCGAUGCCGCGUGAGGGAAGAAGGUUUUUGGAUUGUAAACCUCUGUCUUCAGGGACGAAAAAUGACGGUACCUGAGGAGGAAGCUCCGGCUAACUACGUGCCAGCAGCCGCGGUAAUACGUAGGGAGCGAGCGUUGUCCGGAAUUACUGGGUGUAAAGGGAGCGUAGGCGGGGCUUUAAGUCAGGUGUGAAAUCUAUGGGCUCAACCCAUAGACUGCACUUGAAACUGAGGCUCUUGAGUGAAGUAGAGGCAGGCGGAAUUCCUAGUGUAGCGGUGAAAUGCGUAGAUAUUAGGAGGAACAUCAGUGGCGAAGGCGGCCUG